RNAcentral lists this ribosomal RNA (437 nucleotides) under uncultured bacterium. RNAcentral describes it as "partial 16S ribosomal RNA". It matches the Rfam family "Bacterial small subunit ribosomal RNA", at positions 29 to 507 of the family's 1533-position model. The record is from RNAcentral.
AGCGAACGCUGGCGGCAGGCUUAACACAUGCAAGUCGAGCGGGCAUCCUUGUGGUGUCAGCGGCAGACGGGUGAGUAACGCGUGGGAACGUGCCCUUCGGUUCGGAAUAACUCAGGGAAACUUGAGCUAAUCCCGGAUACGUGCGAGAGCAGAAAGGUUUAUCUGCCGAAGGAUCGGCCCGCGUCUGAUUAGCUAGUUGGUGAGGUUACGGCUCACCAAGGCGACGAUCAGUAGCCGGUCUGAGAGGAUGAUCAGCCACACUGGGACUGAGACACGGCCCAGAAUCCUACGGGAGGCAGCAGUGGGGAAUAUUGGACAAUGGGGGCAACCCUGAUCCAGCCAGGCCGCGUGAGUGAUGACGGCCUUAGGGUUGUAAAGCUCUUUUCUCCGGGACGAUAAUGACGGUACCGGAGGAAUAAGCCCCGGCUAACUUCGUG